This 19-nucleotide small nuclear RNA is filed under the name Arabidopsis thaliana (thale cress). Its description in RNAcentral is "snRNA_00340". Lineage: Eukaryota; Viridiplantae; Streptophyta; Magnoliopsida; Brassicales; Brassicaceae. The record is from RNAcentral.
AUAACCGCAUCAGGUCUCC